ACGUAUGGAGCGAGCGUUGUCCGGAAUUAUUGGGCGUAAAGGGUGCGCAGGCGGCUUUACAAGUUGGAUGUGAAAUAUUGUGGCUCAACCACAAACGUGCAUCCAAAACUGCAAAGCUUGAGUUAAGGAGAGGUAAGUGGAAUUCCUGGUGUAGCGGUGGAAUGCGUAGAUAUCAGGAGGAAUACCGGUGGCGAAGGCGACUUACUGGACUUAAACUGACGCUCAGGCACGAAAGCAUGGGGAGCAAACAG
This 251-nucleotide ribosomal RNA is filed under the name uncultured bacterium. RNAcentral describes it as "partial 16S ribosomal RNA". It matches the Rfam family "Bacterial small subunit ribosomal RNA", at positions 525 to 775 of the family's 1533-position model. The record is from RNAcentral.